This 1422-nucleotide ribosomal RNA is filed under the name Triticum aestivum (bread wheat). RNAcentral's name for it is "partial small subunit ribosomal RNA". The record is from RNAcentral. Lineage: Eukaryota; Viridiplantae; Streptophyta; Magnoliopsida; Poales; Poaceae.
AUGGCGCACCGCUGGCUGCUGCUGCUGCUGCUGCCGUUCCAGAUUCAGCUGCUCCUGCCCUGCGCCGCUAGCGCUGACGCUGCCACGCCGCCGGUGAUCACCACGAACGCCGUCACGAACCUGCCCGGGUUCAGCGGCCCCCUGCCUUUCUCCCUCGAAACAGGGUACGUGGAGCUGGACGACCACGGCGUCCGCUUCUUCUACUACUUCAUCCAAUCGGAGCGCAGCCCGGAGGACGACCCCGUGCUGCUCUGGUUGACGGGCGGGCCCGGCUGCUCCGCCCUCUCCGGCCUCGUCUACGAGGUCGGACCUCUGGCUUUCGACUUCGAUGGCUACCGAGGAGGGUUGCCUAGCCUGCUAUACACAGCAGACUCUUGGACUCAGGUUAGCAACAUCAUCUUCGUGGAUUCUCCAGCAGGGACUGGCUUCACCUACGACCCCACGGACAACAAAAUGACGCCCAGUGACACCAUCAUUGUUCGCCAGCUGCACACUUUCCUUGAAACGUGGUUUGAUGAACACACAAUGUUCUUGUCAAACCCUCUCUAUAUUGCCGGCGAUUCGUACAGCGGCAUGGUCAUACCUUCUCUCACUAUAGAAAUUGCUAAAGGUAUAGAAUCCGGUGACCAGCGGCUUCUUAACCUCAAGGGUUACAUUGCUGGCAAUCCGGUGACUGAUUUGGCACGGUUUGACGGCAAUUCUAAAUUCCCAUAUCUUCAUAGGAUGGGAUUUAUACCAGAUGAACUCUACAAGGUUGCUUCGGAGAGUUGUGGGGGGAAAUACACCAGCCCGUCGAAUGCUCUAUGUGCCAAGUCCGUCCAAUCAAUCUAUUACAAUGCCACUUAUGUUCUUGCCGACUUAUGGGCAAACGACGUACAUGUGAGGGAGAGUUUGGGUAUUCACCAGGGAACCGUUCCAUCAUGGAGAAGACAUGCUCAUUUCCCUUACAUACAAGACAUCGACAGUACAGUGGGGUACCAUUUAAGCUUGAUUACCAAAGGAUAUAGAGCCAUGAUAUGCAACACCCAUAUUGUGAAAUUUUCAUCGACAUGGCGUGCAAGAAGUUCAACCCACCAUCACCCUCCGAACUUUCCAUCCAUUGUCUUCCAUAUUGCCUCCCAUCGGCCGCUAAUCUCCCUCUCAUCCUCUUGUGCACCUUCCCGCCUACCCCCAUUGGCUCGCCGUGUCGUUACCAUCAACCCUAGGAGGAACCCCGUUGCUCGGACCUCCAUCAUGGCAGGGAGAGGACGCCAAGCACAAAUGCCACCCUAUCUCUCCCGAACUUCUUCUCAUCGCACUCUCGUGAUUGCUGGAACCUCACUGUUGUGCCCGCCUACAACCUCUCAGACCCCUUUCACAGAAAAAUCAUGCCAUGAAGCAAAACUCACCGACAGUUGGAGGAAUAGGAUAUCAUUGUCGUAG